GUCGUACGCUUCUUUUUCCACCGGAGCUUGCUCCACCGGAAAAAGAAGAGUGGCGAACGGGUGAGUAACACGUGGGUAACCUGCCCAUCAGAAGGGGAUAACACUUGGAAACAGGUGCUAAUACCGUAUAACAAUCGAAAYCGCAUGGUUUUGAUUUGAAAGGCGCUUUCGGGUGUCGCUGAUGGAUGGACCCGCGGUGCAUUAGCUAGUUGGUGAGGUAACGGCUCACCAAGGCCACGAUGCAUAGCCGACCUGAGAGGGUGAUCGGCCACAUUGGGACUGAGACACGGCCCAAACUCCUACGGGAGGCAGCAGUAGGGAAUCUUCGGCAAUGGACGAAAGUCUGACCGAGCAACGCCGCGUGAGUGAAGAAGGUUUUCGGAUCGUAAAACUCUGUUGUUAGAGAAGAACAAGGAUGAGAGUAACUGUUCAUCCCUUGACGGUAUCUAACCAGAAAGCCACGGCUAACUACGUGCCAGCAGCCGCGGUAAUACGUA
RNAcentral lists this ribosomal RNA (497 nucleotides) under Enterococcus faecium. RNAcentral's name for it is "bacterial SSU rRNA". Lineage: Bacteria; Bacillati; Bacillota; Bacilli; Lactobacillales; Enterococcaceae. The record is from RNAcentral.